GAUGAACGCUGACAGAAUGCUUAACACAUGCAAGUCGAUGGGGAAGUGGUGCUUGCACCAUGGCAACCAUGGCGGACGGGUGAGUAACGCGUAAGGGACUUACCUGCAGGACUGGGAUAACAGGGGGAAACUCCUGACAAGACCGGAUAAUGUCAUGGAGCUGCAUGGCUUUAUGAUGAAAGGAGACGCCUGCGGAGAGCCUUGCGUCCUAUUAGCUAGUUGGUGAGGUAAUGGCUCACCAAGGCGAAGAUAGGUAGCCGGCCUGAGAGGGUGGACGGCCACGAGGGGACUGAGAUACGGCACUUACUCCUACGGGAGGCAGCAGUGGAGAAUAUUGGACAAUGGGGGCAACCCUGAUCCAGCAAUUCUGUGUGCACGAAGAAGGUUUUCGGAUUGUAAAGUGCUUUCAGCAGGGAAGAAGUAAGUGACGGUACCUGCAGAAGAAGCGACGGCUAAAUACGUG
Molecule: ribosomal RNA, 463 nt
Filed under: uncultured bacterium
Lineage: Bacteria
Description: partial 16S ribosomal RNA
Rfam family: Bacterial small subunit ribosomal RNA
Source: RNAcentral